This is a long non-coding RNA of Bos grunniens (domestic yak), 2903 nucleotides long. Lineage: Eukaryota; Metazoa; Chordata; Mammalia; Artiodactyla; Bovidae. The record is from Ensembl.
GUCACUGCUUAGGACUGAGCAUUGUGCUCUCCAAGAGCCUAGUGGGGAAAUAACAUUCAAACUAGUCCUGCCAUGGACCCUGACAUGUGCCUAUAUUUGCAGGCUAACCAUUCCUUUUGCUUUGCACAAGCUUCAAGUUCUCAGGGCUUAAUCAGCCAAGAGAGUGGUGUGUUUUUCUAAUUCACCACAAGGAUGCUGUGCAGGCAAGCAAAAGCUCUGGGUAUUACAACAUAGGGCCUGCUGGCUUAUCAAGGAUAUAUUAGCUAAAUGGGGCAUGGAGAUAAGUCUGCAUACUCCAUGUAGUGGCUCAUUUAAUGAAGAAUGAAUAGCUCUUGGUAGUCGGGUGUCAAAGAAAUAGCACCAUCCUCGGGAUCAGAAUAGUGCUUCUUCUCUCUCAUUUUUAUUAUUUUUUAAAAAUUCAUUUCUGUUGGAGUAUAGUUGAUUUAGUGUUGUGUUAGUUUCUACUAUAUAGCAAAGCGAAUCAAUCAUACACAUACAUAUCCACUCUUUUUUAGAUUCUCUUACUGUUGUGUGGCACUGCAGUGGCAGCUGCACGGCACUGGAGCAACUGUGAGGAUAUAAGCCUGUCCAAGGGCAAAGAUGCCCCAGCAAGACGGUGGGCACUGGAGCAGUGGCUGCGUGGUGCUGAAGCAGUGGCUGUGUGGCACUGGAGCGGCUGUGAGGAGAUACCCCACGUCCAAGGGCAAAGGAGAAGCCCCAACAAGAAGUGUUGGCUGUUGUGGGUGUUACCCACAGUUAUAUUAUAAAAGUGAGCUGCAUCUCCACGGCUUCAGUCUUAGAGCACCAGCUGGUGAGCAAUGUGAGUAGCUAUGCACAAGUUUCAAUUUCACAUCUUUCUGCCUUUACUAAUGUAUAGUGGGUGAAAGCGUAUGGAGUUGAAAAAAUGUUGAAAUUGUGGUCUUCUCUUCCAUCUCAAUGGUGCGCUUUUGGGAAACUCAUAGCUUUUUCUGUUAGUUUCUGUUUCCCCAAGUCUUCAGUGUUUGAAUUUUGAUAGUUAUCCCUUAGGGUCAUUUUAUAACAUAUAUGAGUCUGUGACACUGAAUUGAAACACUCUAGGACAGAUGCAGAUGGAAGCAAAAGGAACCCUGGGUGCUCUUGCUAGCAGCAGCUUUCUCCAGAUGUCUUUAAAUCUUUACCUGACUUGUAGGACAACCCAUCUGCCUUAUUUUCCCUCCUUCUCACUUAUGAAGGAACUGAAUUAGAAACACAUUUGUGUAUGAGGAAAUGUGUCUAGGGUUGGUGAGAAAUUCAGUUCUCAUAUUGGACUCUGGAGUGUUAAACUUUGAGUUUUGGACAUAAUCUCUUGCCUUCUAGGGCAGGUAUCUUGAAAACACAUUAGAACUACUUUAGAAAUAGCUUUUGUGCGAAUCUGCCACCUUGACAGGAUCCUAAAAGAUGGAAACUAAAUUGAUGUGGUAUAUUAAGUUUAGCAUGACCUUGAACAACUGGUUUUGCAGUGUUGGCUGUUGUGGGUGUUACCCACAGUUAUAUUAUAAAAGUGAGCUGCAUCUCCACGGCUUCAGUCUUAGAGCACCAGCUGGUGAGCAAUGCAAGAAGCAGACUGGUAACCAACUUACAUCAUCAUCAACAUGAAGAUAACCACAGUGCCAAUGCUUCUGACCCUGGCUGUUUGUCUCAUACAAGGUGAGCAAUUUGCCUAUAAUCUAAGCCUCUUGCCACACAUUCCAAAGCUCUAGGCAGAGACUUCUCUCCCUUCCUCCCUCCUCAGUGUGUGUGUGUGUGUGUGUGUGUGUGUGUGCGCGUGUGCGUGCGUGCGCACAUGCAUGUGUAUACAAAACCCUGAACUAUCUUGCCAGACAUAGAGUUUUGAAGAAUUACAUAUGCAACUUUAUAAAUAGGGUAUCUUUAAAAAGGACAUGUAGUGUGAGAUAAUCUGAAUUUUUAUCCAUCAGAAAUUCUUCCAUUAAUUCAACAUUAAUUCUGAAAAGCUAAUAGAGUCUUCUCCAUAUUCCCCUCACCAAACAUAUAAGUUCAUAGUGAUAUGAAUUAUAUAUAUAUACAUAUUUAGAAUAUUAAAUGCAUGAAACAUAAUUAUAUGAAUCAUGUAGACAACAGAUAUUUAAAACUUAGAUGUACUUAAUAUGUAUACUUUAAUACUCUACUUAUAUAUAAACAUUAAAAAAUCAAAUUCAAUCAUCUGGUUUUAAACCAGCAUGCUUUCUAGCAAAUUUUAUUUUUGUGUUUUCAAAUCCUAAAUGAAUUGAAAGUAUUUCUUCUACAUGGUAAGGGUCUUUCUUCUUUGGGUGCCAGGAGAUGAUAGGUUUUUGCUUUUGCUAUCUGAAUUUGAAGGGAACACAGAUUACCUAGACUUAACUUGCUGUGAAGUUUUAUGUAUUUUAAAAGGAAACUUCAGAGAUGGAGAGUGAGGAGACUAUUAUACACAAAUGAUACCCACUUUCCUAAAAUGAGUGUCUUGGUACCAAAAAUAGUCUGUUAAUGAGAGAGCGUAUUAGUCUGUAAUUUUAAUUUUAAUGUUCUGUGACCAAUACCUUCAUAUUAAUAAUACAGACAUAUUAUACUGAUGGGAACUAAUAGCUUUGUUAAAAACACAGAAACAGGUGUUUAUGAAUCAAGGCAUAAUAUUUACCAGAUCUCUAAAUUUUGUGGCUGUGACUAGGAGACAGUAUUACCAGAAUCCAGAAAAUUUAAUUUUAUGUACAUAGGAUAUAAACUUUAUGCUACACUAUUCCUUAAAACUGUGAUUGAUAUAUUGGAUAUGUGUGUUAUAAUUUUAAAAGAAGCCUACAAUACUUUGUUCUGAAAGGAUUUUUUAAGAAGUUAGAUAUUUUGAGGGGGUCAGAAAGUAUAUGAAUAUUAUUUUUUGAAGAAAUUGGCACUUUAUGAAUGAGAGGUCUUUGUUA